RNAcentral lists this long non-coding RNA (352 nucleotides) under Anser cygnoides (Swan goose). RNAcentral describes it as "lncRNA (ENSACDG00005014771.1)". The record is from RNAcentral. Lineage: Eukaryota; Metazoa; Chordata; Aves; Anseriformes; Anatidae.
GACUUGAAAAGCUAGAAAGCCAUGAGAAAUUAUUCAGCAGAGUAGUACAAGGGAGGGUUCAUUACCCAGGUGGAUAGCAUUGUUACGUGGAUUCCAGACUGGAACUGGCAUCUGUCCAGACUGCUUGCAGCAAAGGAGCUCAGACUUGUCUGUGCUGGCCUGGACAAAUAUUCCCAUAGUUGUGUUGUUUUUGAGAGGUGGAAAGAGUCUCUCUUACAUGCAGAACACGACACCACCCCAAACUACAAGGGAAAGAUUUGCCAUUUCAAGCUGGAAGAAGCUGUACAGAGCUACAUCACAUCUGUUCAUUCCCCUCGAACAGCUAAAGAAAAUAAUAUUCUGCCAACCUUGA